Molecule: ribosomal RNA, 350 nt
Filed under: uncultured bacterium
Lineage: Bacteria
Description: bacterial SSU rRNA
Rfam family: Bacterial small subunit ribosomal RNA
Source: RNAcentral
UGGGGAAUAUUGGACAAUGGGCGAAAGCCUGAUCCAGCAAUGCCGCGUGAGUGAUGAAGGCCUUAGGGUUGUAAAGCUCUUUUACCCGGGAAGAUAAUGACUGUACCGGGAGAAUAAGCUCCGGCUAACUCCGUGCCAGCAGCCGCGGUAAUACGGAGGGAGCUAGCGUUGUUCGGAAUUACUGGGCGUAAAGCGCACGUAGGCGGCUUUGUAAGUUAGAGGUGAAAGCCUGGAGCUCAACUCCAGAACUGCCUUUAAGACUGCAUCGCUCGAAUCCAGGAGAGGUGAGUGGAAUUCCGAGUGUAGAGGUGAAAUUCGUAGAUAUUCGGAAGAACACCAGUGGCGAAGGC